This 407-nucleotide ribosomal RNA is filed under the name uncultured prokaryote. Its description in RNAcentral is "bacterial SSU rRNA". It matches the Rfam family "Bacterial small subunit ribosomal RNA", at positions 355 to 776 of the family's 1533-position model. RNAcentral also lists the same sequence under 1 other name. The record is from RNAcentral.
UGGGGAAUAUUGCACAAUGGGGGAAACCCUGAUGCAGCAACGCCGCGUGAAGGAAGACGGUUUUCGGAUUGUAAACUUCUGUUCUUAGGGAAGAAGAAAGUGACGGUACCUAAGGAGCAAGCCACGGCUAACUACGUGCCAGCAGCCGCGGUAAUACGUAGGUGGCAAGCGUUGUCCGGAAUUACUGGGUGUAAAGGGAGCGCAGGCGGGAAGCCAAGUCAGCUGUGAAAACUACGGGCUUAACUUGUAGACUGCAGUUGAAACUGGUUUUCUUGAGUGAAGUAGAGGUUGGCGGAAUUCCGAGUGUAGCGGUGAAAUGCGUAGAUAUUCGGAGGAACACCGGUGGCGAAGGCGGCCAACUGGGCUUUAACUGACGCUGAGGCUCGAAAGUGUGGGGAGCAAACAGG